Molecule: long non-coding RNA, 278 nt
Filed under: Cucumis sativus (cucumber)
Lineage: Eukaryota; Viridiplantae; Streptophyta; Magnoliopsida; Cucurbitales; Cucurbitaceae
Description: long non-coding RNA (CSAT_LNC000573)
Source: RNAcentral
GUCUUUUUUGGUUACCUCAUUAAGCUUUCGAUAGUCUUCCAUCUGUUUUCAACCCUCAUGGGCACUAUCUCACAUUUGUCAUUCUCAACAAUUAUCAUGUCAGUCCUUUUGGAUACACAACAUGAAUAAGACUUACACAUGUACUGCAGGAACGAGGUAGAUUAUUCUGGUCUCACGAAGCUUUAUGAUUUGCUUGAGUACAACCUCUUUCAUUGUAGGACUGAGUCUCCUUUAUGCUUGUGUGAUAGCUUUAGCUCCUUCCUCUAAAGUGAUUUUAU